AUUGAACGCUGGCGGCAGGCCUAACACAUGCAAGUCGAACGGUAACAGGAAACAGCUUGCUGUUUCGCUGACGAGUGGCGGACGGGUGAGUAAUGUCUGGGAAACUGCCUGAUGGAGGGGGAUAACUACUGGAAACGGUAGCUAAUACCGCAUAACGUCGCAAGACCAAAGAGGGGGACCUUCGGGCCUCUUGCCAUCGGAUGUGCCCAGAUGGGAUUAGCUAGUAGGUGGGGUAACGGCUCACCUAGGCGACGAUCCCUAGCUGGUCUGAGAGGAUAACCAGCCACACUGGAACUGAGACACGGUCCAGACUCCUACGGGAGGCAGCAGUGGGGAAUAUUGCACAAUGGGAGCAAGCCUGAUGCAGCCAUGCCGCGUGUAUGAAGAAGGCCUUCGGGUUGUAAAGUACUUUCAGCGGGGAGGAAGGGAGUAAAGUUAAUACCUUUACUCAUUGACGUUACCCGCAGAAGAAGCACCGGCUAACUCCGUGCCAGCCGCCGCAGUAA
Molecule: ribosomal RNA, 506 nt
Filed under: uncultured bacterium
Lineage: Bacteria
Description: partial 16S ribosomal RNA
Rfam family: Bacterial small subunit ribosomal RNA
Source: RNAcentral